GUGUUCACUUGGGCAGUACAUAUGCUAAAAUUGGAGUGAUACAGAAAAGAUUAGCAUGGCCCUGCACAAGAAUGAAAUGCAAAUUCGUGAAGUGUUCCAUAUUUUU
Molecule: small nuclear RNA, 106 nt
Organism: Jaculus jaculus (lesser Egyptian jerboa)
Lineage: Eukaryota; Metazoa; Chordata; Mammalia; Rodentia; Dipodidae
Source: Ensembl